This 329-nucleotide unclassified non-coding RNA is filed under the name plant metagenome. RNAcentral describes it as "partial contains 5.8S ribosomal RNA, internal transcribed spacer 2, and large subunit ribosomal RNA". The stretch from base 1 to 105 matches the Rfam family "5.8S ribosomal RNA", at positions 50 to 154 of the family's 154-position model. The record is from RNAcentral.
GAAAUGCGAUAAGUAAUGUGAAUUGCAGAAUUCCGUGAAUCAUCGAAUCUUUGAACGCACAUUGCGCCCUCUGGUAUUCCGGGGGGCAUGCCUGUCCGAGCGUCAUUGCGAACCCCUCAAGCACGGCUUGUGUGAUGGGCCCUCCCGCGUCUUGGUCGUCAAGACGGGCCCGAAAUGCAGUGGCGGCUUCGUGGUUAUCCGAUCAGCCAGAGCGUAUGGGGACUUUCUCUCUGUCACACGCCCGCGGCGCGGACCGACGCCUGUCGACCUUUAUUCAUCUUUUUCUCGGUUGACCUCGGAUCAGGUAGGGAUACCCGCUGAACUUAAGC